This 388-nucleotide long non-coding RNA is filed under the name Homo sapiens (human). RNAcentral's name for it is "HSALNT0317892". The record is from RNAcentral. Lineage: Eukaryota; Metazoa; Chordata; Mammalia; Primates; Hominidae.
UUACCAGGACCCUGUCUCCCAAAGCUCGGUGAGGCGCCUGGUCAUCCCCCAGGAUGUGGGAGGCCGAGGCUGGGAGCAGAGGGCGGCCCGCACCUGCCACAGGGCUGAUCUAGGCUGGGGCUGGGAUUGGAAUUCCAUCCCCAGGUGCCCCCGACAUGAGGGGGAAAAACCUCCCAGCAAUUCUCAUUGCAAGAUGGUAAACCUGUCGCCCUAAUGAACAGCUUUCAUUUAGAACCCAGCGAGAAGGGGCGCACCGGGAGACGGCAGCUUUGUUGACUGCGAUGUUUCCAAAUCACUUGCUCAACCUGCAGCGUUCCCAUGGAGCUUGGAGCGCCCAGCAUAGGGCUUUAUUGUUGUUUUGAGGCAAGAAAGAAGUUUUCAGAAGCCA